CAGCAUCUUCCGUCUCUUUGAUUUGGAAAGGAUGACAGCGGCUGCGGCUGCGAUCUCCGUCACGAAACCAGAGGUUGCAACCACCUCCACGGAAGACAUUCUUUUUUGUUUCUGGAUUCUUCUUUGUCUUUCGGUUCCUGUGCCUCCCGCCGUUCCUUUCCCCUCGCAAUUCCGACCCGUUCAUCAUGCACACAAGUCUCUCUCUCUCUCUCUCUCUCUAGAUUUGCCUCUCUCAAAACCCUA
Molecule: long non-coding RNA, 243 nt
Filed under: Erythranthe guttata (spotted monkey flower)
Lineage: Eukaryota; Viridiplantae; Streptophyta; Magnoliopsida; Lamiales; Phrymaceae
Description: long non-coding RNA (EGUT_LNC002901)
Source: RNAcentral